GGGUGCAGUACACUAAGUGAACCCAGAUUCUGGAUUCUUGGUGUCCACAGCCUAGCUGAUACGAGAUGGCCCAUAGGACACCUGGUUUAGGUAGAAGGAGCCUCCUCAAAGGCAGUGCUGGGCACCCACGGGUGUGCUGGAUACUGGAGUUUGAGAGGAGGGAGGUGCUGGGGCCAAAGGAGACACUAGAAAAAUGGUAGAUGGGACAGGUAAGUGGCAGAGGUGAGGGGAUAAGUUAGAAUGUAAAAGGGCAGUAAUUAGGGGUGAGGGAAAGGAGAUAGGGGACCCUAGGAGGUAGAGUGGGACCAUGUCGUGAGGCAGUUGAAGAGUUGAGGAAAGGUUUUUCUGGGCCCUACUGCUCCCCUCUGCUGCAGGUAAGUCAGAGCAGCUUUACCACAGCUUCAGGCCACGAGAGCCCCUUCACCCGCCCUGCUGCGCCGUAGGCAGAGGCUUAUAAAGAAAUGGGUUCCGGGCCAGGUGUGGUGGCUCAAGCCUGUAAUCCCAGCACUUUGGGAGGCCGAGGCGGGUGGAUCACGAGGUCAGGUGAUCGAGAUCAGCCUGGCCAACAUGGUGAAACCCUGUCUCUACUAAAAAUAAAAAAAUUAGCUGGGCGUGGUGGUGGGCGCCUGUAAUCCCAGCUACUCGGGAGGUUUAGGCAGGAGAAUCGCUUGAACCUUGGAGGUGGAGGUGGAGGUUGCAGUGAGCCGAGAUCGCGCCAUUGCACUCCAACCUAGGUGACAAAGCUACACGCCAUCUCAAAAAAAAAAAAAAAAAGAAAUAGGGUUACAAAAGGAUCCCAGCUCCGGGGCAUCAGCCUGAGUGCGCUUGAGCUGCUCCAAACCUGGCCCUUCCCGACUCCUCUAGCAUCGCCACCCGCAUGGCCCUGGAACUCCCACGGCGGCGGGGGCGGGCCCGUGCCUGCUGUGCCCCGACUUCCCACACCAGCCGCGCCCACCGCAGGUGGGACUCAGGUUCGCCCUCUGGGCCAGGUCCUUCACGAGGAGGGAGCUACCCUUCGCCAGAAGUUUGUGAGAAUGUGGCCGCCCUUUUCCUGCCCUCUGCCCCAUGUGGGUGGGGGGGCCUCGUGGCCCGGCCGGCGCCCCGUCCCCUUCUGCAUGUCUGAGGCCACCGGCAACCGCCGCCCCACUCCAGAUUUGCCCCCGCCCUGUUUUGAAAGCCCCUUAUUUAUAACUUUUAUACUUUGUGCAGGUCGCGGCGCUUCCCGCCUCAUCCUCGGCUGCAUGGGGCGGGGGGGCUGUUUUUAACGUGCCCGUUUGUACUGAUGUAUGAACUUGUCAAUAAACAC
Molecule: long non-coding RNA, 1306 nt
Filed under: Pan troglodytes (chimpanzee)
Lineage: Eukaryota; Metazoa; Chordata; Mammalia; Primates; Hominidae
Description: long non-coding RNA NONPTRT010277
Source: RNAcentral